Parus major (Great Tit) is the source of this 5582-nucleotide long non-coding RNA. RefSeq lists it as uncharacterized. The record is from RefSeq and is a predicted model, not a curated record. The transcript is spliced from 3 exons. Lineage: Eukaryota; Metazoa; Chordata; Aves; Passeriformes; Paridae.
UGUGCUGCUGCUCGUCCUUUCCCGUUCCUCCAAAACGCGGCUUGGAGAUGCAGUGCUGAAGAAGCAUCCGCAGGGAACAGAGUGGUGGAGCAAGAUCCAAGUCAACAAAAAUCUUCUUUAAAGAACUGGAGGAAGUCUCCGCAUCAAAAACAUAACCUGCUGGGGAGAAUUUAACUUCUCUAAUGUCUGCUGAAAGAGCAACAUGGCAAGUUGCAAUCAGUUGAGAAGACUGCUGGAGGGUGUAAAUGGUAACAUCUUGAUAAAGAUAAAUGGAUUGACCAACCAAAGUGUGUACAUAUACCUUAAAAUUCUGCUUUGUUGUGAUACCAUGGAUGGGCAAAGCAGCUGGACAAGGACUGGAGCAGCUCUCUGGAUGGCUGGACUGCAGAUUUACUGAAACGAUUGGAAACCUUGACAUUUGUAUGUCUUUAGCAUUCUUCCCUUUUCUUCUCUAGCCUCACAAUGCAGGGACAGGGAUUAUUUUCUUGUUAGAAGACGAUACUCUUCCCAACAAAACAGGCUUUUGGACCAUGUCUGGAGAUCCUAAGUGUUAUGGUAAUAGAAAUUAAAAUAGAUGUUUGUAAUUAGAGAAAUUGUGUGGUGCUUUUGAGACAAAUAUGUUUGGAUCACAUGCAGGAGUUUGUAUCUUUGUUCCAAACAAGUGGUACAUGUAAAUAAAUAUUAAUUCCACUUAAGUCUAGUGUAUAUAUAGAAUCAUUCCAUUCAAAUCCAUGAAUUUACACCAGUCUGAAAUAUUUUAUUUACAUAUUCCUUCUUGGGUGUACACCUAAAAUAUGCUGAGCAUAUUCUACAACAUCUUUUCUAUAAAAAACAUCAGGAAAAAUUCCCCCAAAUUUUAUAUUUUGGAUCAGCUGCUGUAAAUCAGCCUACUUUGGAAAAAUUAGCAAACCAUUCCAUUAGCAUGUAUUGUUUAGAGCAAUCAGUCUCUGUAAUCUCCGUUGCCUGUCAUAGAAACAUGCCAGCUAUCGGUUUGGAUUACAGGCACAUGAUAAAAUAGUUGUGAUGAGCCAUUUUACUCCACAAAACAUGUGGACAAUGAUUUUGUGUUGAUUAGUGAUGAUUGUUUUUUAUGGUUGACUUCACAGGUUAUUGAUUCUUGGCUUUAAUCUCAAAAUAGACAGCAGUUUUGGAGAAAUUAUUUAAAUUUUUUACCUUUAUUGUAACCAUCUGAUUGUCUCAGACAUCCAGAUUCUGGAGGCUUGCAAUUUUUGGUAAAGAAAGAAAAGGACACUUAAUCCUAGAUAUACAUACCUAAGAAAAUGUCUCUGUUGAAUUUAAUUGAUGCAGCUGUUUCAAAAUCAAUCAAAACGUAUGCUUUUUAAUUAGGAAAAAAAAAAAAAAAGAUAUUUGAGUUUUUAAUGAAUCAGAUAGGUAGGGCACUCAAAAAAGUUGAAUGCAAUGGUUGGGUUUUUUCCUGGUUGGUAUCUUUCACUGUCAUGUCUGUGUUUUGCAGCAGAUAUGGUCAAAGGCAUUCUACUGCAUUUGAGCAUUCCAGCUUCCUUGGGCUUCUUUCUCUGAGAAGAUAUUAAAAUAUUUCAAGGACUUUUGCUUUUGGAAACUUUCAUAUUAACAAUAGUAAACUGUGGAUGUUUCAAAAAUCCACAAAACAGGAGUUGCUCUGGACUCUGCAUGAGGACGUGACAGAAUGGACAACAGUCAACGAUUUUUCAGCAAACACACACAAGCAUCAGUUGGACAACUAGCAAUUCAUUAUCAAUUAAUUUAACAAACUUACAGUAUUCUCUAUAUAUUUUCUGUUUUAAGCAGUAGCUUUAUAACUAGAACUACCUAGGAGUUCAGCUCCAGUUAUGCUGUAUCACUUAUCUUGGGCUGGAUGAAGCCCUGCAAUGUUCCUUUCUGACUUCAGCCCCUAAAAGCACUUUGUAGCUUCUGCCAGUUUAUUUAGAUUACUAAUUAGAUCCUUAUGCUAAUAAAUCUUUGUUAACCCUGAGUCUACCUGGAGGUUUAGACAGAGUCAUAACAAGAGUAUUGGGAAGAACAGGCUGUAGAAGGAGUAUCUUAAAUAUAAUAUCAAAGCACAGCAACUUUCUUUUAGCUGUUACAACAUGGUCACUGAAAUCUAUGUUAACAUACAACAUCUAAUUUACCUCUUGUUUUUUUGUCUUUUCUAUUUAGUGUGUCCCAGAACAGUGCAUUAACCAAAUGCCUCUGGAAAGUGUGCUUAUGUACCAAUAUCCAGAUAUUGGUGCAAAAUAGCAGAUUGUCUGAAAGACUUUGGAGGACAGUUUGACCUUCACUGGUUUAGAGAUCAGAUAAAAAAAAAUUUGAUAGUUAUCUCUACUUGUUUGUACUAACAAGGUUGUAUAGGGCUGAAUUUUAGGACUCAGACCACAUAUUAUAAACAGAUAUUCUUCUGGGAGUUAUAUAAUUCAUACUUGCUACUUUCUUAAGGAAAACCAGGCAGAAUUUUCUUCAGCAAUAAUUCCUAGCUUCCUUAAGUCAAUGAUCUUUAUGUAACUCCCAAAGGAGGAAACAGGAAAGUUUGCUAAUAUACAGUAGUCUAAAAAGAUAGAUUUUCUUUUUGUCUUUAGUAUGAGUGGAUUUAUCCCUUUCUUUCUGAAUACUAACAGCUAUUUUUGGUAGAUGAUUUUUUCAAGUACAUGCAGUGUCAUGUAUGGUGCUAAAUAGAUCUUUGCUGUCACACUUCUGACUGAGGAAUGAGCUAAAGGAAUUCCUGCUUGGCAUGGGUUUUGUCUAAAAUAUUAUACAAGAAACAUUUCAAUCUUAUAUAGAGUGGACUGGAAAUACUAGAAUUUGUUUAUCUCUCACCUAAUGUCUAUUUAGAGAAAUGAAGAGAAAACAAAUUUUGUUAGUUCAGUUUAUUAUCUGAAAUGCUGGAAAACCCUCUUACUUUCUGUCUGUGACCAAAAAUCUAAAUAUAGCUGAAGGGCAUGUCUAGACUGCUGUCAGACUGGAGAAUAUGCUGUGGUUCUUCCCUUUUAAAGGCAGUCAAGUUUUCACGAUUGGGAAUCACAGAAUAGAGGGAGGUGGUUGAGAAUGUCCCUGGCCUCAGGAGCUGUUAGUACUCUGGCUCUGACCCAUGUGUCAUCAGUCACAUGGGCACUUGUGUGUGAGCACCUUGCAUUUGUUUGUUCAGACCAGGUUUACAGACAUUUUCUAGGCUCUGCUUUCUGAAAUGUUUUCCACUGAUUACUUCUUGAGAUAUUUUUCCCCCAAGUUCAACUUUUUAAUCAAUUUUACCCACAGAUGCUGUUGCCAGAAUCCUUUUGAAAUGCCAGAGGUUAGAGGGGCAGCAGCACAGACAGUCCAGCAGACAUCAAUGGUCUGGAAAAUAAGUAGAUAAUGAAAUAAAUUAAAAUAGUUUUAUCCUGCAAGAGCAACAGCAUUUGCAGUGCUAGCAGAGACUGCCACUCAGCAAGGCUUCCAAUUCAACACAACUUCAGUUUCAUAGUUGACCAACUUUAAAAGUUGUUUAUAGCUGUUCAUAUCAUUGUUAUGCCACAUAAAUUCCCUUUUAUCUCUAGGUUCAGGUUUUGGAUAUGCUUUCUUCUGGCUGUAUUUCAAAGUCAGUAAGCCGAGGGCUUAUACUGCUGAAGAGGUUAGUCAUAGCUUGGUCCAACUUCUGAACAAUGAUUAAGCUUAUGAAUUCUGAAAUGUUUAUGUGAGCUGUGUCUUGCAUUGUUUAUUGCUGUUGUUGACACUAACACGUAUGGUCCAGAUGGCAGAAGAAGAUCUGCAUUUGAGAUUAUGUGGUGUAUUGUAAACUCAACUUUGCAGAUGUACUUCUAGCUAAUCAAAGACAGAGAAAUUGCUUUGAGUCACAUGUUGGAAAGUUAAUAGGGGUAUUUAACGCAACUCUUCCAUUUCCAGCUUGGAGAACUUGACAGACACAAAUAACUGGAGGCUUAGUGAGACAUUUCUGAAGCUACUAACAGGCUCCUUUCUUUGGAAAACCAUAAGUGCAGCUGAAAGAGAACUCUACAAAUUAUUUACAAAAUAAAAUAGUAAUUAAUACCUGCUGGUGGGAGCAGACUUAAUAAAUACUGUCUGUUCUGUAAAGUGACCUAAACUAAUUCCCUCCCAAAAAUCCAGUGAAAUACAGUAAAUAUGUGACUACUCCCAUGUUGCUGAGGACAAAGAUGUAGACUUUCAUAACAUGGGGACAUGACUAAGCCUGGAGCCUUGUUACCACAAUUUCCCUCUCAGUCUGCAGGGACAGCUAGACUCUUCCAGAAAGUUUGUAAAGUUUUCUUUAGGGGCUGAACUGCACACUUCUUGAAAGAGUAGCGCUCCUCACCAUGCAUGACUUUUGAGUAUACUGUGGUCUGACCAAGUAUCCUGGAUUUGUGCUAAAAACAUCCACAGCAGGGUGGGAUUUCAGAAAUUUGCUCAGGUGCCUAGACUUCUGCUUAAAAUUUGGUUUCAGAUAAGGAAGUAAUUUUUAGUAAAACUCUGUCAGAAAGUACUGACAUGACUCAAAUGUAGUGUUCCCAUUCUGCCAAGAAGGCUUGAAGGCAAGGAAGAAAAUUUGAGUCUGUCCUUCUUGACACUACUUCUCUAAUGUCCAGUUGGAUAACAUUUUCUGUGAUUGUCUUCCUUAGCAUUUAUUUGCAAUUUAAUUUUUAUUUCACUUUUAGCUUUGCUUACACGGUCACUAUAGCUGCUAAUGGCAUUGGAUCAGAACACAGGCUUGUGAAUGACAAUGAAGUAUCAUUUCUUCUGGAUCUAAAAAAACCCACAACAGCAAAAGCAGCAACAGUGUCAGAGUAGUAUUCUACCUCAGCUUGUAGCACAGGCUUAGAAGCUUUCAAGUCAAUCUGAAUAUAUUGUAUUCACCUUCACAAUUUUCUUGAUUUGAAAUAAGUCAACCAAAACAGCUUUAUAACUCCAGGAAAGAAGUAAUUUUUAGGAUGAAUAAGGUGAGUCAGGGAUCAUUUUUCUUCAAGAAGUACAAACAAAGAAGUGGGCAGGCUGGAUUUCUGGGAAAGGUUAGGACUUUCAGUCUAGACUGGUUGUUGUAGCAGACUUGAGAGGUUUCAUCUCAAUUUUUCUUUACAGCUUGUGUUUUGUUCUUUGUUCAGCAGCUGUUGGUUCUUCUCUGCAGGCAGGUGUUCCAUGCCCAUCCCCCUGGUUUUUGCUAUUUCCAUGGGUGGGGAACUGUUUAUAAUUCCUGUUACACUGAGCUGAAUGUUCUACAAAGUACAAUUUCAUUAGUCUUUGUACUUUUAUUGUUGUUCUGAUUGAUCUACGAUAACAUCUGAUGUGAUUUAGCACAAGGAACAUUGCAUUUAUUCAAUGUAAAAUAUUUAAUCUCUUUAGUUUUACUAAAGAAGAAGAAGAAGAAGAAGAAACUCCACACAAGAAACUUUUCCUCUUUUCCACUCAUCUUUCAAUUCUCUCUGGGGAUUGUAUAUGUUCAAUAUCUGUGUGUUGUUAAUGAGAAAAUUUGUGUGCAUGCCUUUGUUCUAGUGUUACAAUAGUCUUUUUAUGAUGGAAUACAAUGUGAGUAAUUUUUGUUUAUAAACCACAUUGCUUUUCAAUAAAUUGGAAAUGCAGUUUACACAGAAAUAAACCACAGA